Drosophila nasuta is the source of this 1724-nucleotide long non-coding RNA. RefSeq lists it as uncharacterized. The record is from RefSeq and is a predicted model, not a curated record. The transcript is spliced from 4 exons. Lineage: Eukaryota; Metazoa; Arthropoda; Insecta; Diptera; Drosophilidae.
CUCACCAGUCGAAUUUUUGCUUCUCGCUCAGCGUUGGCGGUGUCGUCUGACGCUCGCUGUCCCUCUUGCGGUGACGGUUGUCCGCACCUGUCCAGCGGUGAUGCUCUGGUUGUUGCUGUCGUUGCAGUGGUUGUAGCUGUUAUUGCCUUCUUCGCGCACACACUCGCAGCAAUACGUAUGCACACAAUUUUUCGUACAGACACCAAUUUUCCGACCUCUUUUUUUUCUUCUCGGUGGACCGUCUCCAACCUCGAUCAAGAAUCAACUCCUCUACUCAGCAAAAUCCACAUGCUAACCUCUCGUGAAAAAAGUUGACGUUCUUUUUUCAUCUCAUAUUUAACAGGAGGAGCAUUUUAAAACUUCCUCCCUCCCCUGGAGUUACCAUUUCUUAUCUCCGAUAUAUCGCCUCGCGAUAUAUCGAUAACCCCCCAACUGCUGGCACAAACGAUACCUAAAAACAUAACAAUUAAAAUCAAUCUCGAUUACAAUUAGUCAAAUCGACAUUCGUGCACAACGUCACCGUGGGCAAGACCAUGAUACAAUUAUACAUACAUGUAUAAUUGUAUCAUGGGCAAGACGAGAGACGGCUCUCACAACAAAGAAACAACGCGUACUUAUCUUUUAAAGCGAUCGAUAAUAUUGCAAGUGCGGUCAAUAGGGAUGUCGAAAAUAUAUCAAAAUAUAUUUUCGAAAAAAAAUAAAUAUUUUUUAUCAUGAUAUUUUAAAGCCGUAAUAUCGAUAAAUAAAUAUUUUUUUUUAUAUUUUCCGAUAUUUUGUUUUCGGUCAAACUAUUCAUUUUCAAUUGGAAACCCGCAAGUUGUGAAAAUGAGCUCCGCGAAAUCUUAUUAUGAACUUAAUGAAAAAACCGGAAAGUGCACUUUAUGUUCUAAAAUUAUUAAAGCUAGUAGCAAUAGUUCAAAUUUAUUGUCGCACCUAAAAAAUAAGCACCAGGAUGCAUACACAAAAUGUAUUAGCAAGGUAUAUAUGCAUGUCUAAAAAGAGAGCUCCUCAAAAACAGAUGAAGAUUUGAUGCAAACAACUAUUUCUAAAUCGUUUAUGAAUGCUGAAAAUUUCCAGGACAAAACGAAGCAAGUAUGAAGGAUGUUCUUAUAAAAAAAUCAGAUGAAUAUUUAACCGGAUUGAGCAAAAACAAGAUUUUGAUUAAAGCUUCAUUAUUGGAUCCGCGCUUCAAAAAAAUGUAUGUACAUUCCUCCCACAAUGGUGUUGGAAGCCUCAAAGGACAUUCUGGAGGAGAUGCAACUUAAUAGCGAAGGAAAGAGACGCUCGUUAAACUUGCAACCGCCGGAAGAAUUAGAUAUAACAAAUUUCAACCGCCAAAAAGUUUUUUUGAGGCUCACAAUAGAAGCAUUCAGCAAACGAAAAGCUCGGACAGCCCCUCUGAAAAGGAGUUUAACUUAUAUAUUUCAUUGCCAAACUCCAAUUGGGAAGCUGACCCAAUAGAAUUCUGGACUUCCCAACAGCAGACAAUGCCACACAUUUCAAAGUUGGCACUACGUUACCUGAUAACACCAGGUAACUCAGUAUCCUCAGAAAGGAUGGCUUCGGCUAUCAAAUGUGUAGUGUGUGACUCACGCAGCCGUAUGACUGAUCGACAUGUAACACAGCUUGUAUUUUUAAAAUCAGUGGUCAAAUAAUACUGGAAAUAAAUUUAAGUUUAUCUAACGUAUAUACAUAUAUUAUAUAUUAAAAAGUAAUAAAAGCUU